Molecule: ribosomal RNA, 399 nt
Filed under: uncultured bacterium
Lineage: Bacteria
Description: bacterial SSU rRNA
Rfam family: Bacterial small subunit ribosomal RNA
Source: RNAcentral
AAUCAACGCUGGCGGCGUGCCUAACACAUGCAAGUCGAACGCGAGAGGGGCUUCGGCCCCGAUUGAGUGGCGAACGGGUGAGUAACGCGUGGGUGACCUACCUUCGAGUGGGGGAUAACGUCCCGAAAGGGACGCUAAUACCGCAUAACAUCCUGCUUUUGAAUGGGUGGAGAUCAAAGCCGGGGAUCGCAAGACCUGGCGCUUGAUGAGGGGCCCGCGUCUGAUUAGCUAGNGGUGAGGUAACGGCCCACCAAGGCAACGAUCAGUAUCCGGCCUGAGAGGGCGGACGGACACACUGGGACUGAGACACGGCCCAGACUCCUACGGGAGGCAGCAGUGGGGAAUUGUUCGCAAUGGGCGCAAGCCUGACGACGCAACGCCGCGUGGAGGAUGAAGGUC